GGCAAAGAGUAUGAUCUCUUGUACAACUUAUCCUCAUAAAGGAUGUACCGGGAGGCUUGAUUUCUGAGCUUCCGAGCUUCUUUUGCAUCAUGAGGGAGAACCCCGUCUCUGAGGUAUGCCACCAGUGGGUCGAUCCAACUGGGCUCAUGGUCAAUUUCCAUCACGGGCCGCGAUUCUUCCGUACUUGGGCACUUCAGAACUUCAAAGAGAACACCCUUGGGCAAUUCGACCGGAGCCAGCAUAGCCAGCUUGGAGAGAAGAUCGGCCCUGGUAUUUUCCAUCCUUGGAAUCUGCCUGAUGUUGAAGCUACUAAAGGCGGGGACGAGCUCCUUUAC
This 335-nucleotide long non-coding RNA is filed under the name Elaeis guineensis (African oil palm). RNAcentral's name for it is "long non-coding RNA (EGUI_LNC050329)". The record is from RNAcentral. Lineage: Eukaryota; Viridiplantae; Streptophyta; Magnoliopsida; Arecales; Arecaceae.